Molecule: transfer RNA, 76 nt
Filed under: Planctomycetota bacterium
Lineage: Bacteria; Pseudomonadati; Planctomycetota
Description: tRNA-Cys
Rfam family: tRNA
About the family: Transfer RNA (tRNA) molecules are approximately 80 nucleotides in length.
Source: RNAcentral
GGCGGUAUAGCCAAGAGGACUAAGGCGAAGGAUUGCAACUCCUUCAUCGCUGGUUCGAAUCCAGCUACCGCCUCCA